RNAcentral lists this ribosomal RNA (265 nucleotides) under uncultured archaeon. RNAcentral's name for it is "partial 16S ribosomal RNA". It matches the Rfam family "Archaeal small subunit ribosomal RNA", at positions 718 to 982 of the family's 1478-position model. The record is from RNAcentral.
AGUCACUGACAUUAGAUACCCCUGUAGUCCAGGGUGUAAACGCUGCAGACUUGGUGUUGGAGGCCCUUUGGGGGCAUUCAGUGCCGGAGAGAAGUUGUUAAGUCUGCUACUUGGGGAGUACGUCCGCAAGGAUGAAACUUAAAGGAAUUGGCGGGGGAGCACCGCAACGGGAGGAGCGUGCGGUUCAAUUGGAUUCAACGCCGGACAACUCACCAGGAGCGACGGUUACAUGAAGGCCAGGCUGAUGACCUUGCCUGAUUUUCCG